RNAcentral lists this ribosomal RNA (253 nucleotides) under uncultured bacterium. RNAcentral's name for it is "partial 16S ribosomal RNA". It matches the Rfam family "Bacterial small subunit ribosomal RNA", at positions 524 to 776 of the family's 1533-position model. The record is from RNAcentral.
UACGGAGGGUGCGAGCGUUGUCCGGAAUCACUGGGCGUAAAGGGCGCGUAGGUGGCCCCUUAAGUGUGUGGUGAAAGCCCGGGGCUCAACCCCGGGUCGGCCAUGCAAACUGGGGGGCUGGAGCACUGUAGAGGCAGGCGGAAUUCCGGGUGUAGCGGUGGAAUGCGUAGAGAUCGUAAGGAAGACCAGUGGCGAAGGCGAGUUUCUGGACAGUUACUGACGCUGAGGCACGAAGGCCAGGGGAGCAAACGGG